Molecule: ribosomal RNA, 890 nt
Filed under: Pseudocercosporella sp. RH1.1
Lineage: Eukaryota; Fungi; Ascomycota; Dothideomycetes; Mycosphaerellales; Mycosphaerellaceae
Description: eukaryotic LSU rRNA
Rfam family: Eukaryotic large subunit ribosomal RNA
Source: RNAcentral
UCAAUAAGCGGAGGAAAAGAAACCAACAGGGAUUGCCCUAGUAACGGCGAGUGAAGCGGCAACAGCUCAAAUUUGAAAUCUGGCGCAAGCCCGAGUUGUAAUUUGUAGAGGAUGCUUCUGGGCAGCGGCCGGUCUAAGUUCCUUGGAACAGGACGUCACAGAGGGUGAGAAUCCCGUAUGUGACCGGCGCGCACCCUCCACGUAGCUCCUUCGACGAGUCGAGUUGUUUGGGAAUGCAGCUCUAAAUGGGAGGUAAAUUUCUUCUAAAGCUAAAUACCGGCCAGAGACCGAUAGCGCACAAGUAGAGUGAUCGAAAGAUGAAAAGCACUUUGGAAAGAGAGUUAAAAAGCACGUGAAAUUGUUGAAAGGGAAGCGCUUGCAACCAGACUCCGCGGCGGUGUUCCGCCGGUCUUCUGACCGGUCCACUCGCCGCCGUGGGGCCAACAUCGUCUGGGGCCGCCGGACAAGACUGGAGGAAUGUAGCUCCCUCGGGAGUGUUAUAGCCUUCAGUGAUGCGGCGCGUCCCGGGCGAGGUCCGCGCUUCGGCAAGGAUGUUGGCGUAAUGGUUGCCAGCGGCCCGUCUUGAAACACGGACCAAGGAGUCUAACAUCUAUGCGAGUGUUCGGGUGUCAAACCCCUACGCGUAAUGAAAGUGAACGGAGGUGGGAGCUUCGGCGCACCAUCGACCGAUCCUGAUGUCCUCGGAUGGAUUUGAGUAAGAGCAUAGCUGUUGGGACCCGAAAGAUGGUGAACUAUGCCUGAAUAGGGUGAAGCCAGAGGAAACUCUGGUGGAGGCUCGCAGCGGGUUCUGACGUGCAAAUCGAUCGUCAAAAUUUGGGUAUAGGGGCGAAAGACUAAUCGAACCAUCUAGUAGCUGGGUUCCUGCCGAU